UACAUAGUGAAUAGUAGAGCACAAAGGAGUGCAGGGAAACAAAGGGAUCAGGGAAUACAGGUGCAUAAUUCAUUAAAAGUGGAGUCACAGGUAAAUAAGCAUAUUGGCCUUCAUAAAUCAAGUAUUGAGUACAGGAGAUGGGAUGUUAUGUUGAAGUUGCACAAGAUGUUGGUGAGGCCUAAUUUAAUAGAAACAUAGAAAACCUACAGCACAAUACAGGCCCUUCAGCCCACAAAGUUGUGCCGAACAUGUCCCUACCUUAGAAAUUACUAGGCUUACCCAUAGCCCUAUGUUUUUCUAAGCUCCAUGUACCUAUCCAAAAGUAUCUUAAAAGAACCUGCUGUAUCUGCCUCCACCACCGUUGCUGGCAUUCCAUUCCAUGCACUCACCACUCUCUGAGUAAAAAACUUACCCCUGACAUCUCCUCUGUACCUGCUCCCCAGCACUUUAAACCUGUGUGCUAGCCAUUUCAGCCCUGGGAAAAAGCCUCUGACUAUCCACACAAUCAAUCCUUCAUCUCUCCAAGGAGAAAAGGCCGGGUUCACUCAACCUAUUCUCAUAAGGCAUGCUCCCCAAUCCAGGCAACAUCCUUGAAAAUCUCCUCUGCACCCUUUCUACGGCGUCUACAUCCCUCCUGUAGUGAGGUGACCAGAACUGAGCACAGUACUCCCAAGUGCGGUCUGACCAGGGUUCUAUAUAGCUGCAACAUUACCGCUUGGCUCCUAAAUUCAAUUCACGAUUAAUGAAGGCCAAUACACUGUAUGCCUUCUUAACCACAGAGUCAACCUGCGCAGCUGUCCUAUGGACUCGGACCCCAAGAUCCCUCUGAUCUUCCACACUGCCAAGAGUCUUACCAUUAAUACUAUAUUCUGCCAUCAUAUUUGACCUACCAAAAUGAACCACUUCACACUGAACUCCAUCUGCCUCUUCUUAGGCCAGUUUUGCAUCCUAACAAUGUCCCGCUGUAACCUCUGACAGCCCUCCAUACUAUCCACAACACCUCCAACCUUUGUGUCAUUAGCAAACUUACUAACCCAUCCCUCCACUUCCUCAUCCAGGUCACUUAUAAAAUUCAUGAAGAGUAAGGGUCCCAGAGCAGAUCCCUGAGGCACUCCACUGGUCACCAACUUCCAUGAAGAAUAUGACCCGUCUACAACCACUUCUGUGGGCAAGCCAGAUCUGAAAACUCAAAGCAAUGUCCCCUUGAAUCCUUACUUUCUCAAUAAGCCUUCGAUAGGGUACUUUAUCAUAUGCUUUGCUGAAAUCCACAUACACUAUAUCUACUGCUCUUACUUCUUCAGUGUGUUUAGUCACAUCCUCAAAAAAUUCAAUCAGGCUCUUAAGGCACGACCUGCCCUUGACAAAGCCAUGCUGACUAUUCCUAAUCAUAUUAUGCCUCUCCAAAUGACUCUCAGGAUCUUCUCCAUCAAUUUACCAACCACUGAAGUAAGACUUGCUGGUCUAUAAUUUCCAGGGUUCUCCCUUUCUUGAAUAAAGGAACAACAUCCGCAUCCCUCCAAACCUCUGGAACCUCUCCCGUCCCCAUUGGUGAUUCAAAGAUCAUUGCCAGAGGCUCAGCAAUCUCCUCCCUCAACUCCCAUAGUAGCCUGGGGUACAUCUCAUCUGGUCCCAGCGAUUUAUCCAACUUGAUGCUUUCCAAAAGCUUCAGCACAUUCUUUUUCUUCAUUUGGAAGAUGCUGUGCAGAUUUGGUCACCUGCCUACAGUAAAGAUGUAAGUAAGGUUGAAUAAGCAGAGAGAAAAUUUGCAAGGAUCUUGCUAGGACUGCAAGACCUGAGUUAUGAUUGAAUAGGUUAGGACUUUAUUCCUUGGAAUGUAGAAGAUGGAGGGGAGAUUUGAUAGAUGUGUACAGAUUUAUGAGGGGGUAAAGAUUGGGUAUCUUCUGCAGUGCCUCAAACAGUCUAUCAUCAAAACAGUAUCUGGGUCAUGGCUUCCUCUCAUUACUACCAUCGGGGAGCAGAUACAGGAGCUUGAAGGCUCACCCUCAAUGUUUUAGGAACAGGUUCUUCUCCCUGCAAUCAGAUUUCUAAAUGAUCCAUGAACACUAUCUUACUAUUCCUCUUUACCAUUAUUUAUUUAUUUAUUUAUUUAUAUUGUAACAUAUAGUAAUUUGUUAUGUCUUACACUGUACUGGUGCUAAAACAACAAAUUCCCUGACUUAUGUCAUUGACAAUAAACCUAAUUCUGAUUCUGAUUCAAAAUUGCCACAAGCAUCAACAACAGCUGCAGGCUCUUCCAGAUACUAUGGCAUUAAUAUCAUAUAUUGAAUAGACAGACAUUUGUCCAAACCAUCUUUGGUACUUUCCCACUGUGUGAGAAAAGAAUCCCAAAUGUCAUUUCACCCACUUCUCACCUCUUUGUCUUUGUUCCCCCUUCAGUUCAUGUUUGAAUCAAGAAUGCGAUGGGACCCAAGCUGAUGGUCUUCGUGAAACCCAAACUGAACAUUGAUGAGCAAGUUACUAAGGACUAGGUAGCACUGCCAACAGCACUUUUCAUCAAAUGAUCUCUGUUAGGUAGCAAUUGAGACAACCCUAAAUACUUCUGUGGUCCUGAACUUGAAAGACCUUGAAAUAUUACUUUUCUUCAUAGAAUUGACUCCUAAUCAGUCUCCAGGGAAGCAUAGUUACUCAUGCCAGUCAAGGACAGGAUUAACUAUUGUUUUCCUCCAUAAGCAGUUGUAAAACUUUGCAGAUCUUUAUAAAGCUAAUAAAUAAAGGGUAGAAUAAAUAAUUCGGGGGUCAAGAUGGCGCCAGCGAACAACAAUUUCUCGAACAACAUCUUCCAGGGAGCAAAUCUCUUCAAUGAUUUCACUUUUUUUAUGCCUUCUUGUUCUUUUUGUUUUGUUUGUGUUACAGAAACUGUUGGAACCCACAACGUUCAGUUUGGAACUUGAUCGAAUGAUCUCGCAACCUGCUGCAUCCGGGGAGCUGCCUCGCGGAGAAGAUCAGAAACGGACCGAGAAUAUGAGCUGACUCACGGAAAACACCAGAGAUGCAUGGUGGAGAGUACAUUGACUGGUUGCAUCACAGCCUGCUAUGGAAACACAAAUAUCCUUGAACAGAAUAUCUUAGAAAAGGUCGUGGAUGUGGCCCAGUCCUUCAGGGGUAAAGCCUUUCCCACCACUGAGCACAUCUACAUGGAGCACUGUCACAGGAAGCAGCAACCAUCCUCAGGGACGCCCACUGCCCUGGUCAUGCUCUCUUCUCACUGCCAUCGUCACAAAAAAAGUACAGGAGUCUCAGGACUCACACCAGGUUCAGGAACAGUUAUUACCCAUCAUCCUUCAGAUUCUUGAACCAAAGGGAAAACAUAACUCAAUUUCACUUGCCCCAUCACUGAAAGGUUCUCACAACCUAUAGACUAACUUUCAAGGAUGACUCUACAUCCCAUGUUCUUGAUAUUUAUCGCUUACUUAUUUAUUUUUAUUAUUUCUUUCUUUUUGCAUCUGCAGAGUUUGUUGUCUUUUGCACACUGGUUGAACACCCAGUUAGUGCGGUCUUUCAUUGAUUCUACUGUGGUUAUUAUUGUAUUAUGCAUUUAUUGAGUAUGCCCACAAAAAUGAAUCCAGGAUGACAUGUACGUACUUUGAUAAUAAAUUUACUUUGAACAUUUGUGCUGCAUUAUUAGCAUCUGAGUGUUUAUCAGAAAGAAGCUGUCUGGUAACAAUGGACAACAAAGAUUUAGCUUCCUGAAAACUUUUGUGUGUACCUUAUGGAUUUUGGGCUGCUGAUUAUGACAAUCACUGUGAAAUUUCCCUAUCACAAGCCAUUUUUUAAUAUUUCCUAUAUUUGUCAUUUCAAAUCAUUAUUCAAGUCAGAAUAACUGAUGUCAAGAUUAAGGAAGGCUUUAUUUAUUUAUUUUUACUUAUUCAUUGAGAUACAACAUGGAAUUGGCCCUUCUAGCACUCCAAGUCUUGCUGCCCAGCAAUGCCCUGACCUAAUCACAGGACAAUUUACAACGACCAAUUAACCCACCAACUUUUUGGACUGUGGGAGGGUACAGGAACAGCUGGAGGAAAUCUAUGCCAUUACAGGGAGAAUGUGCAAACACCUUACAGGCAGCAAUGCUUUUGUUAGUCCACAGAUCAAACAGGGCAUCAACGACAGGCAAUUUGAAGAACUUCUAGUGGGAUGGAAGAAAAUCGCACGGAAGGUACUUAAGAAUGUUGUUGAAAAUUUUCUUGGCAACUACAGGUGCCAAACCACGUGCAGCUGGUUGACAACAUGCCUCAAGCAUGCAAAACUAUGAAGUGCAAAAUGUCACUACAGAUUCAUUUUCUGCAUUCCCGUUUAGACUUCUUCCCUGCAAAUCUUGGCACUGUCAGUGACAAGCAUGAUGAAAGGUUUCACCAGGAGAAACUAUCAGAGCAACUGGAAUCCAUCGAUGCUGGCUGAUUAUUAUUGGACACUUAAGCGAGAAGCCUCAGACACCGAGUACAAAUGAAAAUCAUCAACAAAAAGAUUUUUGGCUUAGUGGAAUUAUUUCUAUUAAACAUAUUAUAUUCAAUAAAAGUUAAUUUCUUGUUUCUCCAAAUUCCUAAGUGAUACAAGUAGUCUGAAAUUAUGUUCCGCUUCAAGCAGUCUAUCAUAAGCAAAAUAAAAUUCUGAGGAAGCAACACUUUUGAAAAAAUUGUUGGCCAGUGUAAUCAGUGAUUAGCUUCAAGUACAAAAGGGUACAUGGCUUGGAGAAAUGUAAAAUUAUAACCUUUAACAUGAAAACAUUCUCAUCAGAACCUGCCUGUUCUAGAUUUCAGCCCACUGUCCGUCUACUUAUAAAAUUCUGACUACAAUACAUCAAUACAGGUUGAGCACCCAUUAUCUGAAAUUCCAAAAUGCAUAAACGUCCAGAAUCCAAAAUGUUUUUGAACGCUGUCAUGAUGUCACAAUUGGAAAAUUCCACAAGGUGCCGGGAAGGUUCCGAGGUGGAGCAGUUUUCCGCGCACCAGAGUCAGUUCUGAGAAGUGACUUCACAUGUAAUAAACAGAAGUUAAUGAAAAAUAGAAGAACAUCACAUAAAGUAAAAAAAUGAAGAUCAGAAUUAUGUAUUGAAAGAGUGGAUCAGAAUGAACAUAUGCCAUUUAAUGGGAUGCUGAUCAUGAAACAAGCAGCAAUUUAUCAUGAGAAACUGAAAUGGAAUGUAACUGCGAAUACUCAGCGGGCUGGUUGCUGAAAUUUAAGAAGAGGCAUGGCAUUAAUUUUUUAAAGAUUUUUGGUGAUAAAGCAUCCACUCACCAUGAAGCAGCGGAGAAACUCAUUGAUGAAUUUGCCAAGGAUGUUGUUGAUGAAAAUCUAACACACAAAGUGGUUGCAUUAGUACACAUGUGUGAUGAAGAACUGUAAGACAAAACUGCACAUAAAUUCAGAGUUGGGAAUGAUGACGAUGCCAAACAGCCACUGACUGUCCACCUGGGUGACCAAGGUAUUGAUAGCUUACCUUUCUGGUGGUUCAAUGUACUCAUUAUUAUUUCAUGUACAAAAUUAUUACAAGUAAUAUAUAAAACUACCUUCAUGUAUAAGUUGUAUACAUAAAGUAAAUGGAUUUCAUGUUUAGAUUUGGGUCCCAUGCUCAAGGUAUCUCAUUAUAUAGAUGCAAAUGUUCCAAAAUACCGAAAAAAUCCAAAAUCCAAAACACUUUUGGCCCCAAAGCAUUUCGGUGCUCAGCCUGUAUUAAUAACAUAUAAUGUCAAACUUUGUAAACCUAGCACUUUGAGUUGUGCAGCAUUUUUGUCUACUGACAGACACCGCCAAGGCAGAAACAUUCACGUUGCUCUCUGUGGGAUACGGAUCAGUCCAACAUUCUGUCCAGGCCCUCUGCAGAGCAGCAACAGCUAUACCUCAAAUAAAUUAAUUGUAUAUGAAACAUGUUGGAAUGGUUCUGGAAAACAAUGCUUCAUAACAAAAGUUCCUCUCCACAGCAACAACAGGAAGAAAGUUAUAUUAAAUUACCAAACUGACAUGAACAAAAAUGAGGAUUCAACCUACACAAUGUCUUCCACUUAGGACAGCCUACACAGUACGUGGAUCACAGAAUCAUGUUCUUAAAUGAUGCUUUGAUUCUUGGAUCCGCUGCUUGUUGUUUACUGUCACUGUGAGAGUUUUCCAGAUCUUGGGUCUAAGAAUCUACAUUUACUAUUUUGAUGCCUUGAGAAACAAUAGAUCAGAAAGGAGAAGUACAUGGAACAUCAAAACAGAUCAGUAGCAAAGUAUAAAAAAGUGAUUCAAUAAUACUGAGGUUAUUUGAAUAGACAACUUUUAACAAUGAAAUGCGCACAUUACCAUUUGAAAUAAUCAAAAUAACAGCACUUAAAUUGUGGCAUUUGGUGACACUACCAUAUUUGUGAAAGGUUGAAGCAAGUAAUUUCUCCAAAGACAUUUAGAGGUAGAUGAUUACUGCAUCAUAUUCCACCAUGUUUAAAUAUUGUUAGAUAUUUGCAAAUUAGAUUUAGGAAUCUGAACAUUACCACACCUUCUUCCAAGAUCUAAAGAUAUCAUAAAGUACAUGAUGUUGUAUUAGCUGAACGAUAUUUAAUAUGUUCAGAUGAAACUAUCUGAUCUGAUAAUUUAAUGACUGUUAAUCUUUUUUUGAAUUUAUUGUUAUGUAUUUAACAAUUCAGUAAUAUUUGAUUAAUAUUGUAAAUAUAAGGUUUGAUGAAGCAUUCUUGUUCAUUUAAAUAAUUCAUUAUGUAACCCUAUAUGUAAAAUACAUUAUAAGUGCAUGCCUUGAUUAAAGUAAAAAUUGAAGUACA
This is a long non-coding RNA of Hypanus sabinus (Atlantic stingray), 6764 nucleotides long. RefSeq lists it as uncharacterized. The transcript has 2 exons. NCBI's taxonomy places the organism in Eukaryota, Metazoa, Chordata, Chondrichthyes, Myliobatiformes, Dasyatidae. The record is from RefSeq and is a predicted model, not a curated record.